AGUCACUUUAUGGGUAUGAAUAAUUGAAGAGGGACAAAUGAGCUUGGGGGAUUUGAAGUUGGAGAUUUUCUUCUGACACAAAAGGGACCUCUUGCUUCUUGUCAGGACAAAAGGCAAGAUAUCAUCUCCAUAUAAUCACAACCCAAUAAUAAUAACAAUAAUAAGUACUCAAGAAACAAAGACAAAAGGAAAGAAAAAAGAGAGAUUUUGAUUUUUA
Molecule: unclassified non-coding RNA, 217 nt
Filed under: Hevea brasiliensis (rubber tree)
Lineage: Eukaryota; Viridiplantae; Streptophyta; Magnoliopsida; Malpighiales; Euphorbiaceae
Source: RNAcentral